GACGAACGCUGGCGGCGUGCUUAACACAUGCAAGUCGAACGGAAAGGCCCUGCUUUUGUGGGGUGCUCGAGUGGCGAACGGGUGAGUAACACGUGAGUAACCUGCCCUUGACUUUGGGAUAACUUCAGGAAACUGGGGCUAAUACCGGAUAGGAGCUCCUGCUGCAUGGUGGGGGUUGGAAAGUUUCGGCGGUUGGGGAUGGACUCGCGGCUUAUCAGCUUGUUGGUGGGGUAGUGGCUUACCAAGGCUUUGACGGGUAGCCGGCCUGAGAGGGUGACCGGCCACAUUGGGACUGAGAUACGGCCCAGACUCCUACGGGAGGCAGCAGUGGGGAAUAUUGCAAAAUGGGCGGAAGCCUGAUGCAGCAACGCCGCGUGCGGGAUGACGGCCUUCGGGUUGUAAACCGCUUUCGCCUGUGACGAAGCGUGAGUGACGGUAAUGGGUAAAGAAACACCGGCUAACUACGU
Molecule: ribosomal RNA, 467 nt
Filed under: uncultured bacterium
Lineage: Bacteria
Description: partial 16S ribosomal RNA
Rfam family: Bacterial small subunit ribosomal RNA
Source: RNAcentral